GUUAGCGGCGGACGGGCGAGUAACACGUGGAUAACCUACCUAUAAGACUGGGAUAACUUCGGGAAACCGGAGCUAAUACCGGAUAAUAUUUUGAACCGCAUGGUUCAAAAGUGAAAGACGGUCUUGCUGUCACUUAUAGAUGGAUCCGCGCUGCAUUAGCUAGUUGGUAAGGUAACGGCUUACCAAGGCAACGAUGCAUAGCCGACCUGAGAGGGUGAUCGGCCACACUGGAACUGAGACACGGUCCAGACUCCUACGGGAGGCAGCAGUAGGGAAUCUUCCGCAAUGGGCGAAAGCCUGACGGAGCAACGCCGCGUGAGUGAUGAAGGUCUUCGGAUCGUAAAACUCUGUUAUUAGGGAAGAACAUAUGUGUAAGUAACUGUGCACAUCUUGACGGUACCUAAUCAGAAAGCCACGGCUAACUACGUGCCAGCAGCCGCGGUAAUACGUAGGUGGCAAGCGUUAUCCGGAAUUAUUGGGCGUAAAGCGCGCGUAGGCGGUUUUUUAAGUCUGAUGUGAAAGCCCACGGCUCAACCGUGGAGGGUCAUUGGAAACUGGAAAACUUGAGUGCAGAAGAGGAAAGUGGAAUUCCAUGUGUAGCGGUGAAAUGCGCAGAGAUAUGGAGGAACACCAGUGGCGAAGGCGACUUUCUGGUCUGUAACUGACGCUGAUGUGCGAAAGCGUGGGGAUCAAACAGGAUUAGAUACCCUGGUAGUCCACGCCGUAAACGAUGAGUGCUAAGUGUUAGGGGAUUUCCGCCCCUUAGUGCUGCAGCUAACGCAUUAAGCACUCCGCCUGGGGAGUACGACCGCAAGGUUGAAACUCAAAGGAAUUGACGGC
Molecule: ribosomal RNA, 840 nt
Filed under: uncultured bacterium
Lineage: Bacteria
Description: bacterial SSU rRNA
Rfam family: Bacterial small subunit ribosomal RNA
Source: RNAcentral